UUCUAGUGAGAGCAAUGCUCAGCUUCAUUGUCCAAACUCUGAAGUCACUCCUCCGUCCCCGCCUGCCUGGUGUCCACCUGCUGCUCUGCCUUUCGGGCUGCAGUCACGACCACAGAAGGUAGAGGAAGCAGCAAAACCAGGAUUUGCCUAGUUCAAGAAGUUUGCUAAUGGCCAUGGCCCACAGUAUGGCUUCUGCACCCCAGACAUGGUAAGGAGCAUCUUCACUCCUAAGGAACCAUCUGGAGCCCUCCAAAAAGCAGUCCAGGGGAAGCUUGGGGCUACAAGAGAUGGAAAAAUAUGCAAAGCAGCGAAUUUAAUUAUGAAUUGAUGAGGCCACUGUUCUCUAAGUGUCUGUCUUCGUUUUGUCACUCAUGGACCUGAUAAGAAGUUUAAAGAAGUUUCACGUUUAAAGAGGUUUUCCAUCCAAGGAUUAUCUCUCUUGCAAGGAUUUGGGGAUGGUUUACAGUGACUCCCAUAAAAGAAGGUACGUUCUUAUUAUAACAAAGCCCUUAUGUCCAGAUGGUUCUGCUCAAGAAAGCAAGGCUAUUUGACACAAUCCAAAUCACGGGACCGUGGAGAUGGAGGAAAUCAUGUUUGGGCUUGCAGUGCUGACCCACAUCUGAUCCUCUGAAAAGAGGAUCUCCUCAGAUUCAGGAAAUCCUAGUAAAGAUUCUACAUCCUCUCUUGAGACUCCAUUUUCUGCUGACAGCUGGGGCUCCACGAACAUUUGUUGAUUCAUCCAGAAACUCAGUCAGCUGUCUCUGGCCACCUCCAGUAUUCAGGGAGUCCUCAAGCUGUUCGUUCCCUCCAGGAGCAGAUGAGAAGAGCUACCACGGUGUCUCUCACAUCGCCCGUGGUGUCAUGGCAGGCCUCCCGGCCACCCACUGUCUCUUCAGUGUCCCUCCUCCCACUCAGCAGAACCAGUUCCAGUGGCUGUCCCAAAGG
This is a long non-coding RNA of Lontra canadensis (Northern American river otter), 945 nucleotides long. RefSeq lists it as uncharacterized. The record is from RefSeq and is a predicted model, not a curated record. Lineage: Eukaryota; Metazoa; Chordata; Mammalia; Carnivora; Mustelidae. The transcript has 4 exons.